CAUUCAGACCCUGUGAUCGGUUCCGCGCGAGCAGAGGCUCUGCGGUAGCAAUAGGGAAUACGGUGAGGUGUAGCCAACAGGCGCCAAUUCCGUGACUGCCCCCGCAACUGUAAGCGGUGAGCGACGCUGAACAUGCCACUGGGAAGCCGCCGAAAGGCGCCCCGGGAAGGCCAGUCAAGCUUUGACCCGCGAGUCAGGAGACCUGCCGGACACUGGGCCAGGGA
Molecule: non-coding RNA, 224 nt
Filed under: Aliiroseovarius crassostreae
Lineage: Bacteria; Pseudomonadati; Pseudomonadota; Alphaproteobacteria; Rhodobacterales; Paracoccaceae
Source: RNAcentral